RNAcentral lists this ribosomal RNA (509 nucleotides) under Dysdercus ruber. Its description in RNAcentral is "partial 16S ribosomal RNA". It matches the Rfam family "Bacterial large subunit ribosomal RNA", at positions 1853 to 2613 of the family's 2925-position model. Lineage: Eukaryota; Metazoa; Arthropoda; Insecta; Hemiptera; Pyrrhocoridae. The record is from RNAcentral.
UCUGACCUGCUCAAUGAUUAAUAUUAAAUUGCUAUAGUAUUUUAACUAUACAAAGGUAGCAUAAUAAUUUGUCUUUUAAUUGAAGGCUUGUAUGAAUGGUUGGACGAGAAGUAAACUUUCUUAAUUUAAAUUAAAUUGAAUUUAAUAUUUUUGUAAAAAAGCUUAAAUAAAGUUGUGGGACGAGAAGACCCUUUAGAAUUUUAAUUAAAUUAAUAAUUUUUUAUUUUAGUAAGUAUUUUGUAAUACUUUAUUAAUUUAAUUUUUGUUGGGGUGACAGUAAAAAUUUUUUAACUUUUAUUAUUAAAUUAAUCAUAAAUUAAUGUAUUAUUGAUCCUUUUUUUAAGAUUAAAAGAUUAAAUUACCUUAGGGAUAACAGCGUAAUUACUUUGGAGAGUUCUUAUCGAUAAAGUAGUUUGCGACCUCGAUGUUGGAUUAAAGUUAGAUUUAUAGUGCAGCUGCUUAAUUUCUAGGUCUGUUCGACCUUUAAACCUUUACAUGAUCUGAGUUCA